CAGGCGCUGCUAUAAUGCAGUCGAGCGGACUUGAUGGAGUGCUUGCACUCCUGAUGGUUAGCGGCGGACGGGUGAGUAACACGUAGGCAACCUGCCCUCAAGACUGGGAUAACUACCGGAAACGGUAGCUAAUACCGGAUAAUUUAUUUUGCAGCAUUGUGAAAUAAUGAAAGGCGGAGCAAUCUGUCACUUGAGGAUGGGCCUGCGGCGCAUUAGCUAGUUGGUGGGGUAACGGCCCACCAAGGCGACGAUGCGUAGCCGACCUGAGAGGGUGAACGGCCACACUGGGACUGAGACACGGCCCAGACUCCUACGGGAGGCAGCAGUAGGGAAUCUUCCGCAAUGGGCGAAAGCCUGACGGAGCAACGCCGCGUGAGUGAUGAAGGUUUUCGGAUCGUAAAGCUCUGUUGCCAAGGAAGAACGUCUUCUAGAGUAACUGCUAGGAGAGUGACGGUACUUGAGAAGAAAGCCCCGGCUAACUACGUGCCAGCAGCCGCGGUAAUACGUAGGGGGCAAGCGUUGUCCGGAAUUAUUGGGCGUAAAGCGCGCGCAGGCGGUUCUUUAAGUCUGGUGUUUAAACCCGAGGCUCAACUUCGGGUCGCACUGGAAACUGGGGAACUUGAGUGCAGAAGAGGAGAGUGGAAUUCCACGUGUAGCGGUGAAAUGCGUAGAUAUGUGGAGGAACACCAGUGGCGAAGGCGACUCUCUGGGCUGUAACUGACGCUGAGGCGCGAAGCGUGGGGGAGCAAACAAGGAUUAAAUACCCUGGUAGUCCACCGCGGAAAACAAUGAUUGCAGGUGUUGAGGGGUUUCG
RNAcentral lists this ribosomal RNA (814 nucleotides) under Paenibacillus ginsengagri. RNAcentral's name for it is "bacterial SSU rRNA". It matches the Rfam family "Bacterial small subunit ribosomal RNA", at positions 39 to 834 of the family's 1533-position model. The record is from RNAcentral. Lineage: Bacteria; Bacillati; Bacillota; Bacilli; Caryophanales; Paenibacillaceae.